UAAUCGUAACAAGGUCUCCGUUGGUGAACCAGCGGAGGGAUCAUUAUAGAGUUUUCUAAACUCCCAACCCAUGUGAACUUACCAUUGUUGCCUCGGCAGAAGCUGCUCGGUGCACCUUACCUUGGAACGGCCUACCCUGUAGCGCCUUACCCUGGAACGGCUUACCCUGCAACGGCUGCCGGUGGACUACCAAACUCUUGUUAUUUUAUGGUUAUCUGAGCGUCUUAUUUUAAUAAGUCAAAACUUUCAACAACGGAUCUCUUGGUUCUGGCAUCGAUGAAGAACGCAGCGAAAUGCGAUAAGUAAUGUGAAUUGCAGAAUUCAGUGAAUCAUCGAAUCUUUGAACGCACAUUGCGCCCAUUAGUAUUCUAGUGGGCAUGCCUGUUCGAGCGUCAUUUCAACCCUUAAGCCUAGCUUAGUGUUGGGAGCCUACUGCUUUUGCUAGCGGUAGCUCCUGAAAUACAACGGCGGAUCUGCGAUAUCCUCUGAGCGUAGUAAUUUUUAUCUCGCUUCUGACUGGAGUUGCAGCGUCUUUAGCCGCUAAACCCCCCCAAUUUUUAAUGGUUGACCUCGGAUCAGGUAGGAAUACCCGCUGAACUUAAGCAUAUCAAUAG
RNAcentral lists this ribosomal RNA (614 nucleotides) under Pestalotiopsis diploclisiae. RNAcentral's name for it is "eukaryotic LSU rRNA". The stretch from base 242 to 395 matches the Rfam family "5.8S ribosomal RNA". The record is from RNAcentral. Lineage: Eukaryota; Fungi; Ascomycota; Sordariomycetes; Amphisphaeriales; Sporocadaceae.